AGAGUUCGAUUAUGGCUCAGGAUGAACGCUGGCGGCGUGCUUAACACAUGCAAGUCGAGCGAAGCACUUAAGUUUGAUUCUUCGGAUGAAGACUUUUGUGACUGAGCGGCGGACGGGUGAGUAACGCGUGGGUAACCUGCCUCAUACAGGGGGAUAACAGUUAGAAAUGACUGCUAAUACCGCAUAAGACCACAGUACCGCAUGGUACAGUGGUAAAAACUCCGGUGGUAUGAGAUGGACCCGCGUCUGAUUAGGUAGUUGGUGGGGUAACGGCCUACCAAGCCGACGAUCAGUAGCCGACCUGAGAGGGUGACCGGCCACAUUGGGACUGAGACACGGCCCAG
This 344-nucleotide ribosomal RNA is filed under the name uncultured bacterium. RNAcentral's name for it is "bacterial SSU rRNA". It matches the Rfam family "Bacterial small subunit ribosomal RNA", at positions 8 to 334 of the family's 1533-position model. The record is from RNAcentral.